CCUGACUUCGUUCAAUGGUAGGACGCUCGGCCGUGGACCGGGAGACGUGCGGUUCGAUCCCGCCAGUCAGGACCA
This 75-nucleotide transfer RNA is filed under the name Bradyrhizobium barranii subsp. barranii. RNAcentral's name for it is "Bradyrhizobium sp. 144S4 tRNA-His". It matches the Rfam family "tRNA". Rfam says of the family: Transfer RNA (tRNA) molecules are approximately 80 nucleotides in length. Their secondary structure includes four short double-helical elements and three loops (D, anti-codon, and T loops). The record is from RNAcentral. Lineage: Bacteria; Pseudomonadati; Pseudomonadota; Alphaproteobacteria; Hyphomicrobiales; Nitrobacteraceae.